ACUCCUACGGGAGGCAGCAGUGAGGAAUAUUGGUCAAUGGAGGGAACUCUGAACCAGCCAUCCCGCGUGUAGGAAGACGGCCUUAUGGGUUGUAAACUACUUUUAUACAGGAAGAAACGUACCCUCGUGAGGGUGCCUGACGGUACUGUAGGAAUAAGCACCGGCUAACUCCGUGCCAGCAGCCGCGGUAAUACGGAGGGUGCGAGCGUUACUCGGAAUCACUGGGCGUAAAGAGCGUGUAGGCGGGUUAUUAAGUCAGAAGUGAAAUCCUAUGGCUCAACCAUAGAACUGCUUUUUGAAACUGGUAACCUAGAGUAUGGGAGAGGUAGAUGGAAUUUCUGGUGUAGGGGUAAAAUCCGUAGAGAUCAGAAGGAAUACCGAUUGCGAAGGCGAUCUACUGGAACAUUACUGACGCUGAGACGCGAAAGCGUGGGGAGCAAACAGGAUUAGAUACCCUGGUAGGCUCUGC
Molecule: ribosomal RNA, 469 nt
Filed under: uncultured bacterium
Lineage: Bacteria
Description: bacterial SSU rRNA
Rfam family: Bacterial small subunit ribosomal RNA
Source: RNAcentral